UCCUACGGGAGGCAGCAGUAGGGAAUCUUCCGCAAUGGACGAAAGUCUGACGGAGCAACGCCGCGUGAGCGAAGAAGGCCUUCGGGUCGUAAAGCUCUGUUGUAAGGGAAGAACAAGUGCCAUUUAACUGAUGGCACCUUGACGGUACCUUAUGAGAAAGCCACGGCUAACUACGUGCCAGCAGCCGCGGUAAUACGUAGGUGGCAAGCGUUGUCCGGAUUUAUUGGGCGUAAAGCGCGCGCAGGCGGUCCUUUAAGUCUGAUGUGAAAGCCCACGGCUCAACCGUGGAGGGUCAUUGGAAACUGGGGGACUUGAGUGCAUAAGAGGAAAGUGGAAUUCCACGUGUAGCGGUGAAAUGCGUAGAGAUGUGGAGGAACACCAGUGGCGAAGUCGACUUUCUGGUCUGUAACUGACGCUGAGGCGCGAAAGCGUGGGGAGCAAACAGGAUUAGAUGCCCUGGUAGUCCACGCCGUAAACGAUGAGUGCUAAGUGUUAGGGGGUUUCCGCCCCUUAGUGCUGCAGCUAACGCAUUAAGCACUCCGCCUGGGGAGUACGGCCGCAAGGCUGAAACUCAAAGGAAUUGACGGA
RNAcentral lists this ribosomal RNA (588 nucleotides) under uncultured bacterium. Its description in RNAcentral is "bacterial SSU rRNA". It matches the Rfam family "Bacterial small subunit ribosomal RNA", at positions 337 to 917 of the family's 1533-position model. The record is from RNAcentral.